UACGUAGGGGGCAAGCGUUGUCCGGAAUCAUUGGGCGUAAAGCGCGUGUAGGCGGCCCGGUAAGUCCGCUGUGAAAGUCCAGGGCUCAACCCUGGAAUGCCGGUGGAUACUGUCGGGCUCGAGUCCGGAAGAGGCGAGUGGAAUUCCUGGUGUAGCGGUGAAAUGCGCAGAUAUCAGGAAGAACACCCGUGGCUAAGGCGGUUCUCUAGUACGGUACUGACGCUGAGACGCGAAAGCGUGGGGAGCGAACAGG
Molecule: ribosomal RNA, 253 nt
Filed under: uncultured bacterium
Lineage: Bacteria
Description: partial 16S ribosomal RNA
Rfam family: Bacterial small subunit ribosomal RNA
Source: RNAcentral